This 497-nucleotide ribosomal RNA is filed under the name uncultured bacterium. RNAcentral describes it as "partial 16S ribosomal RNA". It matches the Rfam family "Bacterial small subunit ribosomal RNA", at positions 28 to 507 of the family's 1533-position model. The record is from RNAcentral.
GAUGAACGCUGGCGGCGUGCCUAAUACAUGCAAGUCGAGCGAACAGACGAGGAGCUUGCUCCUCUGACGUUAGCGGCGGACGGGUGAGUAACACGUGGAUAACCUACCUAUAAGACUGGGAUAACUUCGGGAAACCGGAGCUAAAACCGGAUAAUAUAUUGAACCGCAUGGUUCAAUAGUGAAAGACGGUUUUGCUGUCACUUAUAGAUGGAUCCGCGCCGCAUUAGCUAGUUGGUAAGGUAACGGCUUACCAAGGCAACGAUGCGUAGCCGACCUGAGAGGGUGAUCGGCCACACUGGAACUGAGACACGGUCCAGACUCCUACGGGAGGCAGCAGUAGGGAAUCUUCCGCAAUGGGCGAAAGCUUGACGGAGCAACGCCGCGUGAGUGAUGAAGGUCUUCGGAUCGUAAAACUCUGUUAUUAGGGAAGAACAAAUGUGUAAGUAACUAUGCACGUCUUGACGGUACCUAAUCAGAAAGCCACGGCUAACUACGUG